RNAcentral lists this ribosomal RNA (496 nucleotides) under uncultured bacterium. RNAcentral describes it as "partial 16S ribosomal RNA". It matches the Rfam family "Bacterial small subunit ribosomal RNA", at positions 28 to 506 of the family's 1533-position model. The record is from RNAcentral.
GAUGAACGCUGGCGGCGUGCCUAAUACAUGCAAGUCGAGCGAACAGACGAGGAGCUUGCUCCUCUGACGUUAGCGGCGGACGGGUGAGUAACACGUGGAUAACCUACCUAUAAGACUGGGAUAACUUCGGGAAACCGGAUCUAAUACCGGAUAAUAUAUUGAACCGCAUGGUUCAAUAGUGAAAGACGGUUUUGCUGUCACUUAUAGAUGGAUCCGCGCCGCAUUAGCUAGUUGGUAAGGUAACGGCUUACCAAGGCAACGAUGCGUAGCCGACCUGAGAGGGUGAUCGGCCACAAUGGAACUGAGACACGGUACAGACUCAUACGGGAGGCAGCAGUAGGGAAGCUUCCGCAAUGGGCGAAAGCCUGACGGAGCAACGCCGCGUGAGUGAAGAAGGUCUUCGGAUCGUAAAACUCUGUUAUUAGGGAAGAACAAAUGUGUAAGUAACGAUGCACGUCUGGACGGUACCUAAUCAGAAAGCCACGGCUAACUACGU